Molecule: ribosomal RNA, 253 nt
Filed under: uncultured bacterium
Lineage: Bacteria
Description: partial 16S ribosomal RNA
Rfam family: Bacterial small subunit ribosomal RNA
Source: RNAcentral
UACGGGGGGAGCAAGCGUUGUUCGGAUUUACUGGGCGUAAAGGGCGCGUAGGUGGCUUCAUAAGUCCGUUGUGAAAGUCAAAGGCUCAACCUUUGAAAGCCGAUGGAUACUGUGGAGCUAGAGUACGGAAGAGGCGAGUGGAAUUCCUGGUGUAGCGGUGGAAUGCGCAGAUAUCAGGAGGAACACCAAUAGCGAAGGCAGCUCGCUGGGACGUUACUGACACUGAGGCGCGAAAGCGUGGGGAGCGAACAGG